GACGAACGCUGGCGGCGUGCUUAACACAUGCAAGUCGAACGGAAAGGCCCGGCUCUUGUGGGUUUCUCGUUUGGCGAACGGGGGAGUAACACAUGAGUAACCUGCCCUUGUCUUUGUGAUAACUUCAGGAAACUGGGGCUAAUACCGGAUAGGAGCUCCUGCUCCAUGGUGGGGGUUGGAAAGUUUCGGCGGUUGGGGCUGGACUCGCUGCUUAUGAGCUUGUUUGUGUGGUAGUUGAUUACCAAGGUUUCGACGGGUAGCCGGCCUGGGAGGGUGACCGGCGACAAUAGGCCUGAGAUAGGGAGCAGUCGGGUACGGGAGGCAGCAGUGGGGAACAUUGCGCAAUGGGGGGGAGCGUGAUGCAGAAGCGCCGCGUGCGGGAUGCCGGCUUUUGAGUUGUAAACAGCUUUCGCAUGUGACGAAGCGUGAGUGACGGUAAUGGGUAAGGAAGCAACGGCUAACUACGUG
This 468-nucleotide ribosomal RNA is filed under the name uncultured bacterium. Its description in RNAcentral is "partial 16S ribosomal RNA". It matches the Rfam family "Bacterial small subunit ribosomal RNA", at positions 28 to 507 of the family's 1533-position model. The record is from RNAcentral.